GUGGACGGACAGAGACCCAUCAGGCGGGGAGGGCCUGGGCGGUGGCGGCGCCCCCUUGGUGGGGCCGCAGAGCGGAGGAGCAGCAGCUGCCACCGGCCGGAAGCCUGCUGGCUCGGCCGAGAACAAUGGCCGCCUGUCACUGUGGACAGCUGUCUCCCAGGCUAAGGCAAGGCUGCGCUCCCAGGGAAUGCGGGCAGGGAGCCAGGGCGGAGGGCAGAGGACGAGAGCGAGGAGGAGAGCGCGGGCACCCACUGAUGCUGGCGGCCUCGGGUAUUCGCUUUCUCUCUCUUCUCCCACCUUGUUCCUUUUCCCCGGAUGCACGCAUGCACUAGUAAUGCCGAAUUUAGAACAACAGGGAAAGGAAAGGAAAUGGCAAAGGAAGGGAAAGGAAAUGGCCGACAGGAAAUGGCAAGGAAGGGAAAAUCCACUGCAACUCUGCUGCCUGCUGGCCUGUCCAGGGACAACUAUUCAGCUGGGUGGGACGUUGCUACCCCCUUGUGGCACCCCUGCUGCAGCCUGCGAUUCUUACGCCCUGUAUUUCUGGUCUAACAUCAACCAACACUUUGGCGAAAUAUAAUAAAAUGAAAUUACUAGGAGAAUGAAAGAAAGUCACAUGAAAUAAAAGCCCUGCUUUUUAAUGAUUAUAUCCUCUGUGAAAUGGAUCUGCAGCCCUCUCCAUUUCUGGGUUCCCCUGGCCACACCAUGCUUAUGGCUGUCCCAGGAGCAGGCUGACAGACAAGCUUCCACCAGCAUCUAACCAUGGGGCUCAUGGACACCGUAGAGCGUCUCCACCCAACAGAAUCCUGACUUGGGGGCAGCUGAGGCAGGGGGCCCGAGCGUUGAGGGGACCACGCUGCUGCCCCGAGACCUGCUGGCAUGCCACCUGGCCAACCCUGACUUCGCCUGCCCGGGCGCAUGUUAACUGAGUUACAACACUGAGGGCACUUGAACCUGGCUGCAUGACCAGAGAUCGAUCACCUGUGAGAUCCUCUGUGAAACGGGAUAAGCAUCUUUAAUUUCCUGGGCUGUUCUGGAACUUCAGUCAGACAGGACACAGGAGGGUGUCUGCACCACCCACCCCUGCCUCGUGGGCUGACUGGGAACUAUAUGACCUGUGGAGGGCUGUGACCGCCACCCUCCACCUCACUGGGGCCGCAAGCCUUCUCUGCUCCUUGAUUCUGCUGCCGUUGUGAGCGAGGGCCCCAGCACCCUUAGGGACCCCAAUCAAUGGGCUUCCCACAAUGUCGUCACCCUUUGUUGCCUGCUAAGCAGCCCUGGGGCCACCUCAGAAGAAACAGAACUCACAGGUCACAGGGGCCUUUUCCUCCUCGUCAUCGUCCUCCUCCUCUUCUUCUUCCUCCCUGGGCAACUUCCUGAAUUCGGAAAGGUCUGUCUGUAGCAGCUGUGAAACUGCUUCGUGGGCCAGAGCAGCAGCAAGUGGUGGCGGGGCCUUCCUAGGGAUGAGGAGGGGGAAGUGAGGGGCAGCCCCCAGCAGGAGACCACACCUAGCCCCCCUUCCCCAACUGUCAGCCCACAUGCUGAGGGGUCACGGCCAGCAGGGCGGCCCCUGUCCUCAGGGAGCUGGGACAGGAAGGUCACAGGACAGCAAAGGCAGACGCACAACCAUCUGGUGGGGAGCUGGACCAUACUUGAGCCUGCGGCUAGUUGGGAGGGGGCUGUUGAUGGGCAAGUAAACUGCCUGACAUCCAUGCUGAUGAUGGCUCCUGGCCACAGGAGGGCAGAGGAAUCACCCAUGCCAGCUGGGGACCCUGGGGGGUGGGGAGUGUUCUGGGUUGAAUUGUGUCCCCCCUAAAUUCAUACACUGAGGCCCUAACCCCCAGUACCUCAGAAUGGAGCUCAUUUGGAAACAGGGUCAUUACAGAUGGAAUUAGUUAAGAUGACGUCAUGCUGGAGCAGGCUGGGCCCCUACUCCAAUGACUGAUGUCUCUAUGAAAAAGGGAAUUUGGGCCGGGUGCGGUGGCUCACAUCUGUAAUCCCAGUACUUUGGGAGGCCAAGGCAGGUAGAUCACGAGGUCAGGAGUUUGAGGGCGCAUGCCUGUAGUUCCAGCUACUCAGGAGGCUGAGGCAGAAGAAUUGCUUGAACCUGGGAGGUGGAGGUUGCAGUGAGCCAAGAUUGUGCCACUGCACUCCAGCCUAGGCGACAGAGCAAGAUGCUGUCUCCAAAAAAAAAAAACAGGUUGGGGGAGGAAUUUGGACACAGACACACACACACAGAGAGAAUGCCAGGGGAACAUGAGGCAGAGACCUGGGGGAUGAACCUACAAGCCAGGGAAUGCCAAGGGUUGCCCACAAACCACCAGAAGGAGCCAGUUCUGUCAAUAUCCUGAUCUCAGAUGACAGCCUCCAGCACCAUGAAGCACACUUCUGUUGUUUAAGCUGCUGGGUCUGUGGUCAUUUGUACAGCAGCUCCAGGAAGCUGAUCCUGGGGUGUGGGACCCAUGGGCACACUCAGCAGAGGAAGUGGCUGUGCGUGGUCCACAAGGUCCCUGGGCGGAUGGGGCCAUAGGAGCUGCCGGGGUGAGGGGCUGUGGGAACAGGGCAGGCCAAGCUUUAUGCUAACAGGGAAGCACUGCCAUUGGUCUGUGUUUUAUUUAUUUAUUUUUAGAGACAGGGUCUUGCUCUGUCUCCCAGGCUGGAGCACAGCUGUGCAAUCAUGGCUCGCUGCAGCCUCAAACCCCUGGGCUCAAGAGAUCCUCUCACCUCAGACUCCAGAGUAGUUAGGGCUACAGGCAGUAGUUAGGGCUACAGACAUCACCAUGUCCAGCUAAUCUGUAAAUUUUUUUGUACAGGUGGGGUUUUGCUAUGUUGUCCAGGCUGGUCUUGAACUCCUGCCCUCAAGUGAUCCUCCCAUCUCAGCCUCCCAAAGCCCUGGGAUAAUGGCGUGAGCCGCCACACCUGGCCGCCUUUGGUCUGUUUGAAGAGGGACAUGGCAUGAUCAGAUGGGGCUUUUAGGCCUCUCUGACCCUGGUGUGGAGGGUGGGCUGGCAAGAAGGGGACGACUGUCUAAAGGAGAGAGUCUAAGACCUGGGCUGGGCAGGGCCAUGGUGACAAACAGGAGCAGACAGAGUCGGGCAGUAUAAAUGGAGGGGCAGGGACAGUGUUGAAGUUUCUAUUCUGAGCAACUAGAAGGCUCGUGGUACAGUUAAUUACCCUGAUGGGGAUGGAAGAGUCAGGCAGGGGAUGGGCAAUGGGCUCUGUUUCCACAGCGACUUGUGUUCCACGGAGGUCAAGAGGCCUGAGGGCCUGCAAGAACAUGGUCUGGGCAGGAGAUGGAGCUGCGGAAUGAAUGAGGAUAGGGGGCUGAGUCCCACAGGGCCAGAGCAUGGCUAGCAAAGUGGGGAUGACUCCAGGAGUGGCCUUCUGGGUGCCACGAAGGAAAUGUUUUAAGAAGUGAGAUUGGGUCACUGCUUUCAAUGUCAUAGAACAGAGCUGAGCAGUUGAGGAGGCGUAGUGGGUAGAAAGGGAGGUCGCAGCAGGCUGAAAGCAAACCGACAGGAGGGUUAGCGUCUUUUAGCAGGUAGGCAGGGCAGAAGAGAGCCACGGGGCAGAUCAGGGAAAGAAACACUGAAGCCAUCUGUGGCUGAGAAGGAGGGCAGUGGGGAGGAGUGUCUAAAAUUCUGAGCCAUCCCUGGCUUUUCUGGGCAGAAGGGGUCGCUCCCUCAGUGGCCCUAUGGCCUCUAACAUGCAUUUUGACCCCUGGAAUCUGCCUUCUCACCCAGUGGGGGCCCUGGAAGCUGGACAACACACAUUCACCCCUGUGUGCCUGUCCCUGAGAGUGGGGGUCAGGGGAGCAUGCCUGGGGUGGCGAGGUGAUUCUGCACUGGGCCGACACUCCCGGCUUUAACUGGAAGGCGAGGACCUUCCAACAGCACAGGCUGACAGGUCUUGUUCCAUGGGGGCUGGGCACCCAAGGUAUCUACUGAUGGUCUGAGGAAUCUACCGGGAUGGAUUCCUGAUUUUUUUUUUUUUUUUUCUGAGACGGAGUUUCGCUCUAGUUGCCCAGGCUGGAGUGCAAUGGCGUGAUCUCAGCUCACCACAACCUCCACCUCUCGGGUUCAAGUGAUUCUCCUGCCUCAGCCUCCUGAGUAGCUGGGAUUACAGGCAUGAGCCACCAUGCUCAGCAGAUUCGUGAUUUUUAAAAUGAAAGGGUGACUCAUGGGAGAAGCCUCUGGAACUGCCUUUGAAAAACAACCAGCCAAGACAUGAGAAAUUAGUUCCUCUGCCAUUUGGGGGUUUCCUGCCAACUGCUGGGUUUUCCUUUUGCACAGCAGGGAGGAAGGACGCCUGUUUCCCUUGGUCCCGGUGAGGCCAGGCCUCAGCUUCCUGCCCACCCGCCACUGCUGCUGGGGCAGGGAGGCAGUUUCCGGCUGUGGGGACCCAGACAAUGCCUGGCCAAGGGCCACCAUCGUCCUCUUCCUGGACACAGCUCCCGCCUCAUCCCAGGGUCUGGCCUGGGACACGCCCUAGAGGCCCUCAGCCCUGAGUCACUGCACCAUGCAGAUCCACCCUGAUUCUGGUCCCUGCAGAGCAGGCUCCUACACAAGGCAAGAAGAUGCUCCAGGGACAAGCCAAGGUGUAUGCAAGGCCCAGGUGCCUGAGAAACACGUCUCACCGACCUUGGGGCAGGGGCUGUUACAAGAGGCUUAUAGUCUAGUGGCAGAGACAAAAACCACACUCAAAUCAUUAGUGUACGGUAUGCACUGCUCAGGGACUCAAAUAUGUGACAGGAGGCUCCAAACAAGAGCGGAGACAAGGCGUAAAUAGCCCCCUGUGGACUGGAUGUUCUGACUCCUGGAUGGCCUCCAGAAGGAUGCCUUUUACGGUCUGUGAAAGAGCUCAGGGACCAAGAUGCUCAAAGCCCUUCAUGCCCAAGAGCCCCUCCUCAGGCUGGGACACGGGAAGCAGAGCUCGGAGGUGGAACUCGUGACUGUGUAUGGGCACAUGUGAGUGCGUGUGUGUGGACAGCCAGGCUUAGUGUAGACAACGUGUGAGGCUCAGACCCCAAGUGCUGACUACACCUAUGCACAUCCACACCUGCGUGUGAAAGAAGAUGCUAGAAAAGAACAAAAAUAACUUAAAAAAUAAAUCCAAUAAGAUGGCUGGAACAUAUAACAACUUCAAAUACUCCAUUUUAGUUCACCAUGUAAGGUGGGUUCCUGGGGGCUGAGGAGACUCGGGAGCUCUGCACCCCUCCUGCUCGCACCCAUCACUAGGUGGCUCACACAGCAGCCGCUCAACAAGUCUGGCUGCUCUCGCAUCAAAACCAAAACCCACUGCCCUCCCCUGCGCCCCCAGCACUGACCCCAACACUUUGGUUCGGGGCCCUCCUGGGCAGGUCACCUGCACUGCCUACUCACUCCUCAGCCCUCCAGGCCCUCCCACCUUGGAUCCUUCCCUGGGACCCUGCUCUGCGCCCUUCUCCCCCUGCCCAGGAACUGAAGGCUGAUGUUGUCACCCCGGUGCUGCGGCCUGUCCGUCUUCAGCACCUGUGCCCCACGCAGGCCCAGCAAACCCCUGGGCUCUGUUGUUCCCCGGGAUGGCUUUUCCAUCUGAUCCCCAGCUUGGGGCUGGCACCGCUUGGCUUUGCCCGGUCACCUCAUGCUUGGGCCAAAGUGCACCAACCCUUCUGUCCCGGGCCUGGCUUUUUGCCUCAAGGCAGCAAUGGCCCCAUGCCACCUCCACGAAGACCCAGUGGCUGCAGAACUCCCUGGUCUGGACUCCCCUGCUCCCUGCAGAGUGCCACCUGCUCCUCUCAAGAAGGCAGAACGUGAGGCCUUUCCUCACCUCCCGUGCAUUGGCACCCCUGCUGGGCCCACUCUGCUCCACCACUGGGGGCUGAUUCACUUUGUGCCACAUAUCUAAAAUAUUUCCUCAAAACAAGCCAAUAACACCCUUUGCGCAUGCCAUGACCUCAUGGAGCGUGGUCACCGGACAUUUCCUCCUGAGCUCUAGGCAGCUGUGGGGGAUGCUGGGUGGCAUAGCCCUUGCAUGUGGCUGACACUUAGCAAUGUUUGUGCCCAUGUUGCACAGGGAGAGCACAAGUCACUGACUCUGCUAGGGCCUGGGGUCAAGGAAAAUAGGCCCUUGGUGGGUGUCAGGAACAGAGUUGAUUCGCUGCAAGGGGCAAAGGAAGUGCACACUUGGGGGAUACUGAGGCAGCCACCGAGGAUGGUGGCUCUGUCAGAGGGAGCUAUGGCUGAGGGCCUGUCAUGGCUUCAGGUGAUAUUUCAGGUGAUUUGGGUGAUGCUGGGACUGGGGACCAUGCGCACAUCCCCUCAGCAAGGGACUAGGUUCACAGAAACAGCACGCGGCCCACCAGCCUGCUCACCUCCAUGAGCUGUCCCCUGUGCCAGACAGACAGCCUAACUCCAAGACCCUGUCUGAGCAGAGAGGGUUCGAGAAAAGACCUUGUCCUUCACCAUCUUUCAUGGGACAAAUGCUUCCAGAAUGAAUGAAUAAAUGAAGGGGAGGGCAAGGGUCUUCCAAGGAAAGGACCUCUGAGUUCAGCCUAGGCGACAGCUACACACUGUCUGCCGGUGGACACCCAACUCUCUAUCUUCCCCGAAAUCUGCUCGGCUAGUUGUGCUACCUCUCUGUGCCUCAGCUUCCUCACCUGUGGAAGGGGGACAGUGCCAGCUAUCUCUCAGAUCGUGGUGGCUGGGGUGCCAUGUGGCUCUGCCACUCCUUGACUGUAAGGCCUCAGGCCAGCCUCUUCAUCUACCCACCUCUGCCUCCUCGUCCAUCACACGGAUCGGAAACAGGACGUACUGCUUAUCAGCUGCUAUGCAAUAAAUUGUGUUCCCUAAAAGGUAUGUUGAAGCCCCAGCCCCCUGUGGCUCAGAAUAUGAUCUUAUUUGGAGUUAAAGUCUUUGCAAAUGUAAUUAGUUAUGUUCACAUGAGGUCACAUUGGCUGGAGUGGCUCAUGCCUGUAAUCCCAGCAUUUAGGGAGGCAAAAACAUGAGGAUCCAUGGAGCCCAGAAAUUCGAGACCAGCCUGGGCAGCAUAGCGAGACCCCAUUCUCCACAAAAAGAAAGAUGAGAUCACACUGUAGGAGGGCAGCCCCUGGUCCAAAAUGCCCAUGUCCUUACAAGAGGAGGAGUCACAGACACACAGCAGGCAGGGUGGGGAGGUGUGAAGGCACAGACACACACAUGGGGAGAUGCCGUGUGCAACAAGGCCAGCUAGGAGGAAUGAGUCUACAAGCCAAGGACCUCCAGGAAGUCAAGGCCAGGCACUAACAGAAAGGCAGACUCUUCCCUGCAGCCUUUGAGAGAGCAUGGCGCAGCUGCCACCUUGAUCUUGGACUCUGGCCUCCAGCCCUGUGAAAGAAUGAGCUUUGGCUGUGUUGAGUGCCCAGUGUGUGGUGCUUUGCCAUAGCAGCCACGGGAGUUCCACAUGGUGCUGCAUAGGGAUCCGGGGCUGCAGAUCCCCGUGUGGGGCUGGACGUGUAGGGGAGCAGCAGCCACAUCCCUUGUCGGCCCUGGUGCCGUGCCCUUACUCCCCG
Molecule: long non-coding RNA, 7525 nt
Filed under: Homo sapiens (human)
Lineage: Eukaryota; Metazoa; Chordata; Mammalia; Primates; Hominidae
Description: HSALNT0405067
Source: RNAcentral